Molecule: long non-coding RNA, 218 nt
Filed under: Solanum tuberosum (potato)
Lineage: Eukaryota; Viridiplantae; Streptophyta; Magnoliopsida; Solanales; Solanaceae
Description: long non-coding RNA (STUB_LNC005339)
Source: RNAcentral
GAUUGUAUCGGUUUACCCUUCUUAUGUGGAAUUUGAUCUACUUGCUGUUAUUUGUUGAUCUGAGGUUGAUGAAGAUAUACUGUUGGUUCUGGCUGUUGAAUAUGAUCUGUUUAGUAUAGGUUGGUUGGUUUGCUGCUAGAUUGAAGUUUCGAUGGUUCGGUUGGGAUUAAAAAGGAGUUGUUUGUAGCUGCUAGUUUUGCUUAGUUUAGAGUUACUUG